GCGGCGGACGGGUGAGUAACACGUGGGCAACCUGCCCUGCAGACUGGGAUAACUUCGGGAAACCGGAGCUAAUACCGGAUAACACCGAAAACCGCAUGGUUUUCGGUUGAAAGGCGGCUUUUAGCUGUCACUGCAGGAUGGGCCCGCGGCGCAUUAGCUAGUUGGUGAGGUAACGGCUCACCAAGGGCGACGAUGCGUAGCCGACCUGAGAGGGUGACCGGCCACACUGGGACUGAGACACGGCCCAGACUCCUACGGGAGGCAGCAGUAGGGAAUCUUCCGCAAUGGACGAAAGUCUGACGGAGCAACGCCGCGUGAGCGAAGAAGGUCUUCGGAUCGUAAAGCUCUGUUGUCAGGGAAGAACAAGUGCCGUUCGAACAGGGCGGUACCUUGACGGUACCUGACGAGGAAGCCACGGCUAACUACGUGCCAGCAGCCGCGGUAAUAC
RNAcentral lists this ribosomal RNA (448 nucleotides) under Aeribacillus sp. E08D016. RNAcentral's name for it is "bacterial SSU rRNA". It matches the Rfam family "Bacterial small subunit ribosomal RNA", at positions 95 to 526 of the family's 1533-position model. The record is from RNAcentral. Lineage: Bacteria; Bacillati; Bacillota; Bacilli; Caryophanales; Bacillaceae.